AAUAAUCAAUGGAUGAUGGAAUGGCUAAGGGGUUCUUCUCCACACAUGAAAUAUAUGCAACCUAAAUCAAUUUUUCAGUUAUCAAUUUAAUAAGUUAUGAAUUUCGACACUCCAAGUUAAUUAGGUCCGCUUAAAUUAACCUUCAGAUUUCCCUAGAAUCAUUGAAUUGGAUGAAUAUGCAUCGCAAACAAAUUAUUCCCAACAAGUUCUUUAUAUGAACAGCAUGAUAAAGACACAAGUUAGAAUCAUUACGUUCUUUGGAAAUCAUAAGCAU
This 274-nucleotide long non-coding RNA is filed under the name Malus domestica (apple). RNAcentral's name for it is "long non-coding RNA (MDOM_LNC018570)". The record is from RNAcentral. Lineage: Eukaryota; Viridiplantae; Streptophyta; Magnoliopsida; Rosales; Rosaceae.